UGGGGAAUUUUGGACAAUGGGCGAAAGCCUGAUCCAGCAAUGCCGCGUGUGUGAAGAAGGCCUUCGGGUUGUAAAGCACUUUUGUCCGGAAAGAAAUCCUUGGCUCUAAUACAGUCGGGGGAUGACGGUACCGGAAGAAUAAGCACCGGCUAACUACGUGCCAGCAGCCGCGGUAAUACGUAGGGUGCAAGCGUUAAUCGGAAUUACUGGGCGUAAAGCGUGCGCAGGCGGUUUGCUAAGACCGAUGUGAAAUCCCCGGGCUCAACCUGGGAACUGCAUUGGUGACUGGCAGGCUAGAGUAUGGCAGAGGGGGGUAGAAUUCCACGUGUAGCAGUGAAAUGCGUAGAGAUGUGGAGGAAUACCGAUGGCGAAGGCAGCCCCCUGGGCAAUACUGACGCUCAUGCACGAAAGCGUGGGGAGCAAACAGGAUUAGAUACCCUGGUAGUCCACGCCCUAAACGAUGUCAACUAGUUGUUGGGGAUUCAUUUCCUUAGUAACGUAGCUAACGCGUGAAGUUGACCGCCUGGGGAGUACGGUCGCAAGAUUAAAACUCAAAGGAAUUGACGGGGUC
RNAcentral lists this ribosomal RNA (571 nucleotides) under uncultured bacterium. RNAcentral describes it as "partial 16S ribosomal RNA". It matches the Rfam family "Bacterial small subunit ribosomal RNA", at positions 355 to 920 of the family's 1533-position model. The record is from RNAcentral.